Long non-coding RNA from Cyprinus carpio carpio, 1839 nucleotides. The record is from Ensembl. Lineage: Eukaryota; Metazoa; Chordata; Actinopteri; Cypriniformes; Cyprinidae.
GUAACCAAUUUUGUUUUUAUUUUUAGAUUUUAGGGUUGGAGUCUUGAUCUUGUGGUCUGGGCCUGGGUCUCAAAAGAAAAAUCUUGUUCUCUAGGUUUAUACUCAAUCAGUUUCAAAUUAAUUUGAAAUUCUGCAAUAAAUGUAUGAAUUAUCUUGUUUUGGUACAUUAAAAUGGGCAUCUUCAUUCUUGUACUGAUGUGAUUUGGCCUAGAUCUGGGCCUUAAAGGAAUAGUUCACCCAAAGAAUGAAAAUUUGCUGAAAAUUUACAUCGACAUCUUGGAUGACCUGAGGGAGCUGCAAAGAAGACGGAGAAAGCCAGAGUAAUGCCAAGCCAAAUGCCCUGCAUUUAUCAGUAUCCUUAUGUUCGUUGGGUGAAAAAGAAAAACUCAAUAAACAAAGUAAAAAAUAAUUUGACUGAUAUCCCCCACCCUAAGACAGCCCUAAAAUACACGUUCACCUGAUUUAUACCAAAAUCAUUCCCAUGUUUACUUUUUUUAGCUCGGUGCACAUGGGCCGGUCAGGUGACUUUGUUCCUGUCAGAGGGCGAGAGAGACACCCUAAAGGGCAUUCCAGUGAAGCAUACCCUUGUGUCUCCAACCACGUCACAGAGACACAGAGAUGUUAUCUCUGAUGGACACUCAUAUGGAAGUGUUUAGGGCGGCACAGAUAUAGCGGGAUCCUGUCGCCACUCAACCCACAGCCACCCUCAGAGGGGCAUGAUCCUAGCAACUGGAGGUCAAAGUUCAGCAGAGCUGAGUAAAACUGGAAGGAUCCAGAUCUCAACCCUUAUGAAACGCUCUGAUAAGUCUGUAUGUGUUUUUUAAAGGUUCAACCACUCAAAUCAGUUUUUUGUAAGGUAGUUCACAUGACAUUAUUUAUAAUUAUAUUUAUUUUUAUUUUUACCCUGGCAUGUUCCCUUGCAACAUUAAAACGCAUUAUAAAUUAACCAUUUUAGUAUACUAAUUUUUGAGUGAAAAUGGUUUCUGCACCAUUUUUUUUUAGCCCAGCGUGUCUAUUUUCUAAAAGCUAAAUAUUUUUUUCUUUUUCAUUAAUCUGUUACAUUUGGAUGUACACUGUAAAAAAAUUUUAUUUUUUUUUAAGUUGUAAAUAAAAGGUUUUACAAGAAAAUACUAUUUCAGACUUUCGUCUUAAAAAUGUCAUGUUUAAUUCAGUGUGUUAAUUGCCAUUUUUUUGUAAAUAAUUGUGAAAUUUACUGGCAAUUUUUAAGUGAAAAUCACAAUACUGAAGAAAAGAUGUCACAACUUUUACAUUUUAACUUCUGUUUUCUGUGACACAAUAUAUUUGUAGCAAGUGUCACAAUAUUUGAAGACUGCAAAAUAUUUUCAUUUAAAAUAUCUAAACAUUUUAUUAAAAUAAAUUGACUUUUAACUGUCCCAGUUAUGAAAUUGUUCUAGUUUUAAUUGUAACCUGAUUAAUUUACUAGAUUAACAACCAUUCAAAACACCCUAGCAACUGCUUAGCACCCACACCAACCUGGCAACCAACCUUAACAGCCAGUUUAUUCAAUGUAAAAAUGUACAAAUCUAGUUGAACAUGAGAUUGUUCAAUUGUUGAAUAAUUUUGAAUAAACACGUUAACAUAAUGCUAAUAGAACACUUGCUCAUCUAUUUUGCACUAUUUAAUCAUAUUUACAUUUAUGCAUUUAGCAGAUGCUUUUAUCCAAAGUGACUUAAAAAUAAAAGAAGAAGGGGGUUAAAGGGGUAAAUUUAUGUAACUUCAUGUGUCUCAUAUUUACUGGUAUACUCAAUAAUAAACAUUAAACCGUUUUGAACUGCUGUCUAUUGUCUUUUAAAGUGCUUUCCAUUUGUGCAUGUGGCA